UACGUAGGUGGCAAGCGUUAUCCGGAUUUAUUGGGUGUAAAGGGCGUGUAGGCGGGAGCGCAAGUCAGAUGUGAAAACUCAGGGCUCAACCCUGAGCCUGCAUUUGAAACUGUGUUUCUUGAGUGCUGGAGAGGCAAUCGGAAUUCCGUGUGUAGCGGUGAAAUGCGUAGAUAUACGGGGGAACACCAGUGGCGAAGGCGGAUUGCUGGACAGUAACUGACGCUGAGGCGCGAAAGCGUGGGGAGCAAACAGG
Molecule: ribosomal RNA, 253 nt
Filed under: uncultured bacterium
Lineage: Bacteria
Description: partial 16S ribosomal RNA
Rfam family: Bacterial small subunit ribosomal RNA
Source: RNAcentral